AGUCCCAGUCAGGACACAGCAUGGACAUGAGGGCCCCCACUCAGCUCCUGGUGCUUCUGCUGCUCUGGUUCCCAGGUGCCAGAUGUGACAUCCAGCUGACCCAGUCUCCAUCCUCCCUGUCUGCAUCUGUAGGAGACAGAGUCACCAUCACUUGCCAGGCGAGUCAGGGCAUUAGCAAUAAUUUAGCCUGGUAUCAACAGAAACCGGGGAAAGUUCCUAAGCUCCUGAUCUAUAAGGCAUCCACUUUGCAAAGUGGGGUCCCAUCAAGGUUCAGUGGCAGUGGAUCUGGGACAGAUUUCACUCUCACCAUCAGCAGCCUGCAGCCUGAAGAUUUUGCAACUUAUUACUGUCAGCAUGGUUAUGGUAUCCCCCACAGUGUUACAAGUCAUAACAUAAACCCCCAAGGAAGCAGAUGUGUGAGGCUGAGCCACCCCAGAUGCUCUUCCUGGUGCCUCCAUCUGCUGAGAGCAUUUCACAAAUUCAGUCAGGUUUUGAAAGUCAUUGGGAGACUUUUGUAGAGGGGUUCAGGGAGGCUCCUUUGAACUCUAAGUCUCCUUGCCCUCAUCGCCAGCAGAAAGAUGUGACAAUGCCUGUCCUGAUUGAAUAAGGAAGAGAGAUAAGUCCACCUGAGGAGUCUAUGUUAUGGGAUAAUUGGAAUUCAUACAGCAAAAGAGAAGCUAUUCUUGGUAUUUCAAGGAGAAAUUGUUCAAGUUGAAUAAAUUAGUCUAAACCACAGUCUUUUCGAAGCCUAUUGUAUGUUAUUCAUGAAGCAGUCACUAGACAGGGGAUUCUCAGAUGCUCCUGCAGAAGUCAGAGUUCACCUGCUCCUGGUAGUAUGUGCUGAGUACCCGCGUGAUGAUCCUCAGACCUGUCUGGUAAGCCCCGGACUGAGGAUGUUGAUGCUCUCAACUGCCUGCAACACAUCUCCAGGUGAUUCUCCAGUCUACACACAACUCCACGUGUUUUACUUCGGGUAUCAGUGUACAUGAAUCCACCACUCUGACUUCCCAAUCUCAUGGGACAGCCUCUCAUUAAGCACCUCUAAAGAAACCAUAGAGAGAAAAGGCGUUUUGGAAAAUGUGCUUCCAGAAGUGAUAGUAGUGAUGGGGAAUUGACAGCUGACAGGUCAGUAAGGUUACUCUUUCCACAAGGCUCAAAACUUUGCCAGUUACAGAUUGUCCCAGAAUACACUCGAAUGUGCUUUCAAGUCUUACCAGCAAGUCUGGAUUCAUGGCAACAAAACUUCAUUAAGCCACAGAUGAAACAGAAAAACCAGGAAACUGUAUGAAAUAAAGUGUAAGACUCUGUGUGGUAGCUCAUGCCUGUAAUCCCCAGCACUUUGAGAAGCUAAGGCAGGAGAAUUGCAUCAUCCUAGGAGUUUGAGAUUAGACUGGGUAACAUAGGAAGACUCUUUCUCUACAAAACAAAACAAAACGAAACAAAAAGAUAAGUAAAUAGAUAGUUAUAACAAUCAUUUGGCAACCUUUUUCCUUGACAAAAAGGAAAACAACAAGAGAAAUCCUAAACAUGGAUAUAGCACUUUUCCCCUUAAUAUGAAAGUCCUUUGCUACUCAAAAUUAUCCACAACCCAGCAGCACCUCAGCAAUACUGAGAGGGUGUUUUGUAUGAAACAUUGCAUGCCCACCUCAAAUUACCUGACAGACAAUCUUCCUUUUAACAUGGUAACAGGUGAUCUAUACAAAGCUUAACAAGGUAUGUUUUAGGUGAUAUUUUCACUAAAGAGAUGUAUGUUUUUCUCAAUGAGGACAUUUAAGAAAAUUUCAAUGGAGGCUCACAUGUUGAAACCACACCCAGCUUUACUUUCCAAUUGAUGCAACAUUGCAUUUGAAAUCAUUUUGAAGAUUUCAAAGGUUGAAAAUCAUAGUUAUAUACCCAUGGAAUAAACAAAUAAUGUUUAACUGGAGUAAAAGUUUUUAGAAACUUUAAUGAUUACCAAGUGAAAGAAUCAAUUAAAGUUGUGUGUACCUAUGUUAGAGAUUCUUGGACUAUUAUAAUUGUAUCAGGUCAGUUUGGUUUGGGAUGUUGUCUACUCCUGAGAUCUGCCACGAGAAUCUUCUGCCAUGAGUAGUCAGUGUUCUUCAGCCUUGGCCUCAGAUAAAUGCAAUCCAUAGGCUAGAGACAAGCUCAGUUCCCUGCAGCCAAACCAACCAGCUGAUCUCUGCCUUGAUCAGCCAAUUGAUUUGCUGUUACCUGAGCUUGUCUGUCUCCUGCUCAGUUCCUACCAUUUAAAACUUGGUGGGCAGAUGAAGCUUCCAUUCAGGCUACUCACAAUGCCUGGGUCCAACCACAAAUUAAUAUAACUGCAGAUUAACUGUUGGGCAUCAGUAGCUGGACUGGUUUAGGUGCACAAGUUGUUAUGCAGGAUGAUGCCAUAGAGCAGCUUAGAGGAGUGUGCAUUAGAGCUUGGGAAAAAAAAUCACUUCAGGAGGAGGACAAUACCCUUCCUAAUACCCUAAUUCUCUUUGGCAAAUGGAUUUCACUCACACAUGUUUCCUCAUUUGGGAGACUAGCUUAUGUACAUGUAUGUGUGGACACCUUUUCUCACUUUGUCUGGGCUACAUGCCAAUCAGGAGGGUCUCCUUCCUGUGUUAAAUGUCACCUUUUGCAAUGUUUUGCAGUGAUGGGCAUUCCAGCUUCUAUUAAAACAGAUAAUGCCCCAGGCUAUAGUAGCCAAGCUCUAGCUACUUUUUUCUCUAUAUGGAAUAUUAAACAUAUUACUGGUAUCCCAUAUAAUUCUCAAGGACAAGGCAUAGUGGAAAGAAUAAAUCUCUCCCUGAAACAGCCAUUGCAAAACCAAAAGGGGAGAAAUAGGGA
Molecule: non-coding RNA, 2835 nt
Organism: Cercocebus atys (sooty mangabey)
Lineage: Eukaryota; Metazoa; Chordata; Mammalia; Primates; Cercopithecidae
Source: the annotation of a RefSeq genome assembly